UACGGAGGGGGCGAGCGUUAUUCGGAAUUAUUGGGCGUAAAGGGCGCGUAGGCGGCUGUACAAGUCAAAGGUGAAAUCCCUCGGCUCAACUGAGGAACUGCCUUUGAAACUGUACGGCUUGAGGCCGGGAGGGGGUAGCGGAAUUCCCAGUGUAGCGGUGAAAUGCGUAGAUAUUAGGAAGAACACCGGUGGCGAAGGCGGCUCUCUGGAACGGUACUGACGCUGAGACGCGAAAGCGUGGGGAGCGAACAGG
Molecule: ribosomal RNA, 253 nt
Filed under: uncultured bacterium
Lineage: Bacteria
Description: partial 16S ribosomal RNA
Rfam family: Bacterial small subunit ribosomal RNA
Source: RNAcentral